Astyanax mexicanus (Mexican tetra) is the source of this 3979-nucleotide long non-coding RNA. RefSeq lists it as uncharacterized. The transcript has 7 exons. The record is from RefSeq and is a predicted model, not a curated record. NCBI's taxonomy places the organism in Eukaryota, Metazoa, Chordata, Actinopteri, Characiformes, Acestrorhamphidae.
GUGAGCCAAUGAAAUUGCACGAUACAUGCACGUGCAGUGAGUGAUGACGCGGUUCGCGGCACCUUUCACCCACGUAAACGACGCAGGCGCGCGCGGUUCGGAUGUCUCAGGCAUAAUCUGCAAUAAAACAAAGAAAACGUUAAUAAAAGUUCACUAAAACGCUUCAAAAUACUCUUAAUAAGCAGAAUUACUCACCUAAGGCCGAAUAUGAAGUUUCUACGCCGUUAAAACCGUGAAAACAGGCUGUGAAUUCCCCCGCACAGGACGGGGCGGUGCGGUGCAGUGUGGAGCUGCUGAGCUGGAGAUGACUGGUGCUCUCAGCUUCCCCUGCUCUGUUUUUCCAGUAGCAGGUAAAUGAUCAAUCCGGGCUGGAUCAUGCCUCGGCCACUCUGAGCCCACGCUGACCGAGCUGCACAUUGACCACCUGAUAGCCGAGGAUCAUCCUCACCUCCAUAAAGCACCUGCAGAACCAGACCUGCUCACUCACACAGUUUUUUUUGUGUUUGUGCGUGCCCAUACCCUGACUGUGUCUCCGGUCGGUUCUGUCGGGGUGUGUGUCGCUGUGUGAGCUGGGUGUGCUGGCACUGGAGGAGCUGUUACUGCCUCCCCUCUGUAGACCCACAUCCAGAGAGAGCUCCGCCCUCCGCAGAGCUGUAUAAGCAUCUUCCAUUUGGUUCAGCUAAAGUGUUCUGACCUGCUGCGUAUCAGCUGAGACCCGGCCCGCGGUUUGAGCUCUCCUGGCACUGACCCAUUUCCAGCCAGAGGGGGCUGCGCUCUGAACUCUGCUUCUCCUCACGACCUCGAGAAGGUACAGCGGACACAGCUGGCAUCUCUGAGGUGGGGUCAGAGUUCUGACGAGGCAUUUCGGGCCGGUGGGCCCCCAAGCCCUCCUGGAAAGCUGAAACUCCUUUAGAGGACUGGUCGUGUAGAGACGGAGAACCGGACAGCGAGGGACCAUGAGACUUCAUAGACACCAGAUGGGCCAUCUGAGAAAACACAGGUCUACAGAUCUACAGACUGAUUGGUGUUAGGCUAACAGCACUACUGACUACAAUCAUCAGAAGCUCUAAUCACAGACUCCCAGCAAACAGGAAAGUGCAGGAAGAUCCACCACCGACAGCCAGCAGAGGGCGCUGAGACUAAAGGCCGCAGUGCAACACUCACACACUGUGGGCUGGGGCAGCAUGGGGUUCUUGCAGGGGCCGCGGGGCAGGAACAGGUGGAUGCGGAUCUGUCGUUCGUUCUGCAGAUCUCGGAUGAAGGGGUGCUUCAGGAGCUGUUCGGUAGUCGGCCUCUGGGUGUGAUUCUUCACUAAACAGCUCUCGAUAAACGACUGGAACUUCUUAGACCUGCGGAGAACCACACAGAGAACAACCCAAGAGACCCAGAGCGUUAAAAAUAAACCUAUAGAGAAAAAGAGAAAGCAAAAGAGAGAGAGAGGGCGAUCAAGACUCACCACUUCUUGGACUUUAAUCGAGGGGCUGUACUGCGGGGGAUCAGGAACAGAGCCCUCAUGGGGUGCAUAUCACACAGGGCUGGAAGGAGAGAGAGUGAGUGAAAAAGUGAGAAAAGAAGAUGCUAAUGUGUGUACAGGUACAUUGUACAGGUGGGUUAUUAUUAGAAUUAUUAGAAUACUGUGCUGUUUUGCAAUAUCAUGCUUAAAUUAAUUAAGAGUUUUAAUUCUUUUGCCAGAUCUCACUCACCUGAGUGCUGAUUCCAUUCACCUGUGUCAUUACUACUUGUAUAUAUAAAGCACUACAGUGAUAUUUUACCACAACAGUGUGGACAACUUAGGCUUAAACCUAAACAUUUGUAGGUGUAUGUACAGUGUGUUAUUUUUUUUUUUUACUUACGUGGAGCUCCUUCGGCCAUCUCAAUAGCAGUUAUUCCAAGUGACCACAGAUCACUCUGAAAGACAAAUGAAACACUGAUAUUGUAAAUCACAAUAAAUUAGGAACUAUUAGUUUUAAAAUAAAGUAGUAAAACGUUUUUUUAAUGCCAGUUGGAUUGGCUGCAAUUGUUCUUUCCAGUCCCCUUCCCUUCCCUUUACCUCACUCUACCGCGAUUUACCUUGCACUAUUUCACUCUACCUCACUUUACUACCUCUUUCUAUCUAGCUUUACCUCACUCAAAUUAUUCUACCUCACUCUGCCUCCAACGUUAUGUAAAAUGAGCAUGUCUGCAGUGUGAAGAGCUCCCUCUGUAGCUGUUUACAGGUAGUGCAGUUUGAGUUUGCUGGUAUUCACAAUGAUAUUGCAGUUCUUUCAAUGUGCAUCAUAAAAACUCAUCUAGAAUAUUAUUUAUUGCGCAGCUUUAUUUGGUAUAUUAAUAUUAUGGCUGAGUUUAUUGAAUCUAACUGAUUUUGAGAAGUCUCUCUGUUCAUACACACAUCUGUCCUCCAGUCAGUAUCGUUACACAAACACUGCAUUUGGCCUGGAAUCUAAAAACAGCCUCUGUCACAGCGUCCGUCUCGUCUGCUGCUGUUACAUAAUCCCUGCUGGCGGAAUCACAGUUCCACACCUCCGGCUCGCUCACUUCACACCAACACAGUACGGCUGUACUUCACACUGAUAAAGCAUGCAUAUAAAAAUAUUAUAAAAAAUAUUAAAAAUUCACUGCUCUUCAAAAGGGGUGUAAUUUCAUAAUAAUACUAUUAUACUAUCAGUGGCUUAAAAUUAUUAUAAAAUAACAAUAAUAUAAUUGAACCCCAAUAUAUAUGGUAAAGGAAUCUCAGUAAAGAGUGGAUAUACUCAACACUGAUUCCACUGUUGAGAGAGAGAGAGAGAGAGAGAGAGAGAGAAGGAGGCGGGGGCGAGAAAAACUGAGAGAACAGUGUCAGACAUACAGCACUUCUAAAGCACUUCACCACAACAGCCUGUCUGAGUCUGAGUGGUUCAGCACUGGAGAAAAAAAAAACAACAGAAGAAUAGACGAAAAGAAAUAAAGAGAAAAAAAAAGACUUCUCUAACCAAAACAUAAACGAGAAUAUAUAACAUAUAAUAUAUAUACUUUUAUAAAUGGGACAAAAAAACAAUUAUUCUAAUUAUUAUCUUUAUUCACUGUCAUUGUCACUUAUUUUGUGUACUUGUCACUGUUGUAAUGCUUUGGCAAUAUGAAUCCAUUUCUCAUAAACACUUAUACCCAUCAAUAGCCAGCAGUCAGUCUUAAGAUCUCACUCACCUGAGUGCUAAUUCCAUUCACCUGUUCAUUACUACUUAUAUAUAAAGGCAGUUAUUUUGCGCUACCUUUUUUAGAGUAUUGCCGCAGCCUAGGUCUGUGCAGUGUGUUUUCAGUAUUAUUUAUUUUAGUUACUUUAGUUGCAGAAUAAUCACUGUUUUUUUUCACAGUUUUUCACUCAUUUUUGGUCGCUAAAGUGCUGUUACUCUGGUUUGAUGUUUUUGCCUAUACCUUGAGUGUUUUGUUGAUUAAUCCUGUGGCUAAAUCUCUUUAUUAAUGUAAACUUCAAAACUAAUGGUAAAUGAUAUUUAGUAAAAAUGUUGCACCUUAAAAUCAUAUGUAGCCUCUGGAUUUUCAUCACAGGCGAUUACUUCUGGGGCCAUCCAGUAGGGGGUGCCGAUAAACGUGUUUCUCCGACUGACUGUGCGAUCCAGUUGGGCACUAACGCCAAAGUCCACUGCAAACCAGAAACAUAUAUAUAUCAAAAACACAUCAAACAAAAACCAAACACACCAAACAUAAACACACAACAAACACGUCAAAGACUCAAUCAUAAACCCAAACACAUUAUAUACACACAAACACACAUCAAACACAUUAAAACACACAUCAGAGACAGAAACAUGAAAGGUGAAUCAGUGCAUUUAAUUGUAUUUUAAAAUCGCACAAUUUAGAGAUGUCCACAUUUCAUGUCUAUCAGUGUUUUCUAGUGCCAGUCGUUAUUGUGAACCUGAUGAGUACCGGCUGUAACAGCAGUACUCCAGGCCAGCAGGGCGGCGCUCUCACCUAGUUUCACCUCUGC